This 386-nucleotide ribosomal RNA is filed under the name uncultured eukaryote. RNAcentral describes it as "partial 18S ribosomal RNA". It matches the Rfam family "Eukaryotic small subunit ribosomal RNA", at positions 592 to 976 of the family's 1831-position model. The record is from RNAcentral.
CAAUAGCGUAUAUUAAAGUUGUUGCAGUUAAAAAGCUCGUAGUUGGAUUUCUGAAGGUGGUUGGAUUGGUGUGACCUCGCGUUGCCUCAACCAUACUAUUUUCAACAUAUGCGAUGAAUUGGUGUGGUUAAUUAAGUUUGAUCCGCCAUUAAAUCGCUCGUUUACUUUGAGAAAAUUAGAGUGUUCAAAGCAGGCAUAACGCCUUGAAUAUGUUAGCAUGGAAUAAUAGCAUAGGACUUUGGUUCUACUUGUUGGUUGUUCGAGAACUGGAGUAAUGAUUGAUAGGGACGGUUGGGGGCAUCCGUAUUCUCAAGCGAGAGGUGAAAUUCUUGGACCUUGGGAAGACGAACAGCUGCGAAAGCGUUUGCCUAGGACGUUCUCUUUAA